UACUCCUACGGGAGGCAGCAGUGGGGAAUUUUGGACAAUGGGCGCAAGCCUGAUCCAGCCAUGCCGGGUGAGUGAUGAAGGCCUUCGGGUUGUAAAGCUCUUUCGGUGAAGACGAUACGGUUAGCGUUAAUAACGGUGAGCUAAUGACGGUACUCACAGAACAAGCACCGGCUAACAACGUGCCAGCAGCCGCGGUAAUAC
RNAcentral lists this ribosomal RNA (201 nucleotides) under uncultured Denitratisoma sp. RNAcentral describes it as "partial 16S ribosomal RNA". It matches the Rfam family "Bacterial small subunit ribosomal RNA", at positions 334 to 526 of the family's 1533-position model. Lineage: Bacteria; Pseudomonadati; Pseudomonadota; Betaproteobacteria; Nitrosomonadales; Sterolibacteriaceae. The record is from RNAcentral.